GACGAACGCUGGCGGCGUGCUUAACACAUGCAAGUCGAACGGAAAGGCCCUGCUUUUGUGGGGUGCUCGAGUGGCGAACGGGUGAGUAACACGUGAGUAACCUGCCCUUGACUUUGGUAUAACUUCAGGAAACUGGGGCUAAUACCGGAUCGGAUCUCCUGCUGCAUGGUGGGGGUUGGAUAGUUUAGGCGGUUGGGGUUGGACUCGCGGCUUAUCAGCUUGUUGGUGGGGUAGUGGCUUACCCAGGCUUUGACGGGUAGCCGGCCUGAGAGGGUGACCGGCCACAAUGGGACUGAGAUACGGACCAGACGCAUACGGGAGGCAGCAGUGGGGAAUAUUGCACAAUGGGCGGAAGCCGGAUGCAGCGACGCCGCGUGCGGGAUGACGGCCUUCGGGUUGUAAACCGCUUUCGCCUGUGACGAAGCGGGAGUGACGGUAAUGGGUAAAGAAGCACCGGCUAACUACGUG
Molecule: ribosomal RNA, 468 nt
Filed under: uncultured bacterium
Lineage: Bacteria
Description: partial 16S ribosomal RNA
Rfam family: Bacterial small subunit ribosomal RNA
Source: RNAcentral